GUAGCUCCUUUUUAUCCUGAGGAUUAAGCCAUUACAAACUCAAAUGACCAGAGAAUGUAAUUUCUUAAUAAGAAUUUUUUCUUAAAUCUAUAUUCAGCUCUCUAUUUCAGUGCUUCUCUCCUACCAGAGGUGCAAGGAGUGAUCCUAGAACCACAGAUACAGCCAAGACCACGGAGAGCUUUUGACGUCAGGGGUCCACUUUCUCCACUGAACCCUUGGAGACAGAAUAUCCAGCUUCUGGAGAGAGUGGGAAAGGAUAAUAAACAAAUUUCUUUCAACUGGUAAAACAUCAUACUUCUUCAGCAAAAGGAAUUCUUCUAGCAGAGCCUUCAUGGAUGAUAUCUGUCACACAUGCCAGCACCUGCAGUUUGGAAGGCAGUGGUGAAUGGAUCCAUGCAAUAUGUCUAGAAGACACAAGGAUGAGCCAGCCACCU
Molecule: small RNA, 434 nt
Filed under: Pongo abelii (Sumatran orangutan)
Lineage: Eukaryota; Metazoa; Chordata; Mammalia; Primates; Hominidae
Description: processed transcript
Source: RNAcentral